AAUGAACGCUGGCGGCGUGCUUAACACAUGCAAGUCGUGCGGCGAAGGUGGCUUCGGCUGCCGGAGAGCGGCGAACGGGUGAGUAACACGUGGGUGAUCUGCCGUGGGGGCGGGGAUAACCGUGGGGAAACUCGGGCUAAUACCGCAUACGUUGGCGGGUUUACGGACUCGUCAAAGAAAGCUGGCCCUCUGCUUGCAAGCUAGCGCUCCCAGAGGAGCCCGCGGCUGAUUAGCUAGUUGGUGAGGUAAUGGCUCACCAAGGCGACGAUCAGUAGUCGGCCUGAGAGGGUGAUCGGGCCACACUGGGACUGAGACACGGCCCAGACUCCUACGGGAGGCAGCAGUGGGGAAUAUUGGACAAUGGGCGCAAGCCUGAUCCAGCAACGCCGCGUGGAGGAUGAAGGUCUUCGGAUCGUAAACUCCUGUCAGGAGGGG
RNAcentral lists this ribosomal RNA (435 nucleotides) under uncultured bacterium. RNAcentral describes it as "bacterial SSU rRNA". It matches the Rfam family "Bacterial small subunit ribosomal RNA", at positions 28 to 445 of the family's 1533-position model. The record is from RNAcentral.